GGCACUGUGGCUCAGUGGUAGAGCGCUUGCCUAGCAUGUAUGAGGCACUGGGUUCAAUUCUCAGCACCA
RNAcentral lists this transfer RNA (69 nucleotides) under Marmota monax (woodchuck). It matches the Rfam family "tRNA". From Rfam's summary of the family: Transfer RNA (tRNA) molecules are approximately 80 nucleotides in length. Their secondary structure includes four short double-helical elements and three loops (D, anti-codon, and T loops). RNAcentral also lists the same sequence under 2 other names. The record is from Rfam by way of RNAcentral. Lineage: Eukaryota; Metazoa; Chordata; Mammalia; Rodentia; Sciuridae.